Molecule: long non-coding RNA, 460 nt
Filed under: Solanum tuberosum (potato)
Lineage: Eukaryota; Viridiplantae; Streptophyta; Magnoliopsida; Solanales; Solanaceae
Description: long non-coding RNA (STUB_LNC010631)
Source: RNAcentral
CUCUCUAUGCCUUCUUUCUUACUUUCUUGAAAGAUCUGUUCUUUUUUUUUUUUUAUUGUGAUUUCGAAUUUGUUUUUUUUUUCUUCUCUAUUUAUGUUCGAUUCGUGAAGAAGAAGGGGUGUGGGUCGGGGGAGAUGAAAAGGAAGAGAGAAAAUAUUUAAAUAAUGGUCUUCAUUUGUUCCGGCAAAGAAGAUGUGAAUGGUGGUCUCCAUUUUUUCCGGCAAAAAAAUGUAGAUGAUGAUGUCCAUUUUUCGAUAAAGAACUGUGAUGAUGAUCUCCAUUUUUUUUGACAAAAAAUGAUGGGUUAAUUUUACAUCUGAAAAAUUAAAAGUAUAGUGAUAAGAAGAUUAAAAAAAAAUGGCGGUGUAUUCUUGUGAAGAAAUGGUGCAGCAAGAAUCUUAUAGUGAAAGAGAGAGAAAGAUAAAAAUAUUUUUAUUUUUAAAAAAAAUAAUGAAAAAAA